RNAcentral lists this transfer RNA (77 nucleotides) under Pseudooceanicola sp. Its description in RNAcentral is "tRNA-Met". It matches the Rfam family "tRNA". Rfam says of the family: Transfer RNA (tRNA) molecules are approximately 80 nucleotides in length. Lineage: Bacteria; Pseudomonadati; Pseudomonadota; Alphaproteobacteria; Rhodobacterales; Paracoccaceae. The record is from RNAcentral.
CGCGGGAUGGAGCAGCCCGGUAGCUCGUCAGGCUCAUAACCUGAAGGUGGCAGGUUCAAAUCCUGCCCCCGCAACCA